This 635-nucleotide long non-coding RNA is filed under the name Ricinus communis (castor bean). RNAcentral's name for it is "long non-coding RNA (RCOM_LNC002424)". Lineage: Eukaryota; Viridiplantae; Streptophyta; Magnoliopsida; Malpighiales; Euphorbiaceae. The record is from RNAcentral.
AAAAAUAAUACAUAAAUGAAAAUCAAAAGAAUGCUAAUAAAGAUUAUUUCAAUAACAAUGACAAACUAAGAAAAGGUUGUACUUAAAAGAAUCACCCUUCAAAAAAUAAAGGGUAGAGGAUGAGUUUUCGACUGAAAGGUAUUUUUUUUUUUAUUCUUUUUUUACAGUGGUUGAGAGAAAAGGAAGAAGGCCAGGGUUAAAAGCAAAGUGAAGUAAGUCUCUCGUAAUUUCUUCAUCUUGCUCAAGGUAUUGAAUGCAAGAGAUUAGGAUAUGUAAAAUGAUUUCGAGUCUGACUCGAAUUUAAUUCGAUUUUUAAUUCAUUUAAAAAGCAUAAUGAUUUAAAUUUUUAAACUUAUAAAACAUAUAAAUUUAACUUGAAAAGAUAUAUGCUCGACCGAUAUGUUGAUAAGUUUUAUCAUAAAUAUUUUAUAUUACUUAUAAUAAUAAGAUAAGAUAUGUGUAUUAGGAGAAAACUUAUUUAUUGUUAAUUUGAAUUUAAUUUAAAUUCAGCUUAUCUUAUAAUUCGUUUGAACAAUGUAUAAAUUUUUUUGACUUUAAACCGAUUUUGAUUAUUAAUAUUAUUUCACCUAGCCGAGUUUGAACAAUGACGUAUUCAGUUUGGCUUCGGCUCAUUU